Long non-coding RNA from Carassius auratus (goldfish), 570 nucleotides. RefSeq lists it as uncharacterized. Lineage: Eukaryota; Metazoa; Chordata; Actinopteri; Cypriniformes; Cyprinidae. The transcript has 3 exons. The record is from RefSeq and is a predicted model, not a curated record.
UCCAAAACCGAAGACUCUGGAGAUUAUCAUCUACACAUGAGCAACAGCACACAUACCUUACAGAGGACCAUCAGCGUUAUUGUCAAGACUCCACCUCAGUCAGGUGCUCCUACAGGGAUAUAUGGUGCUGGUGUUGGUCUGGUAGUUUGGGCUGUAAUUGUGUUUUUUGCUGAAAGAUUUGUAGACAACGAAAUCAAAGGUGUUUCAGUGAAAAUAAAGUGAAUCACUCUCAGGAUCAGCAUGGAAAAAUGAAGAGAAACAACAGUUCAUAAUCACUGUAACAAGAUAAACGUGGGCUUUGCCUGACAUGUUAUUCAGUUUUAAUUUGCUUGUUUUAUGGAUAUAUUUUUACAUAAAUCUUGCUUUUUGUCAUGCUUGACUAUAUUGUUUUGGGGAUGCCAUUCAUAUAAAAGUUUAUGUUCAUCUGGUGCUUAUACAGACAAAAAUACAAUAAAACCAAUUAAACUUGAUAAAACUGAGACUGUGUUUUAUGGUGCCAGCGUGAACAGUGUGGAUGGAAUGCAAGUUUCUGAAAUUGCCCAUGGCAUAAAGAAAGAUCAGACAAGUGUU